RNAcentral lists this ribosomal RNA (495 nucleotides) under uncultured bacterium. Its description in RNAcentral is "partial 16S ribosomal RNA". It matches the Rfam family "Bacterial small subunit ribosomal RNA", at positions 28 to 507 of the family's 1533-position model. The record is from RNAcentral.
GAUGAACGCUGGCGGCGUGCCUAAUACAUGCAAGUAGAACGCUGAAGGAGGAGCUUGCUCUUCUGGAUGAGUUGCGAACGGGUGAGUAACGCGUAGGUAACCUGCCUGGUAGCGGGGGAUAACUAUUGGAAACGAUAGCUAAUACCGCAUGACAACAGUUAUUGCAUGAUAACUGUUUAAAAGGGGCAACUGCUCCACUACCAGAUGGACCUGCGUUGUAUUAGCUAGUUGGUGAGGUAACGGCUCACCAAGGCGACGAUACAUAGCCGACCUGAGAGGGGGAGCGGCCACACUGGGACUGAGACACGGCCCAGACUCCUACGGGAGGCAGCAGUAGGGAAUCUUCGGCAAUGGACGGAAGUCUGACCGAGCAACGCCGCGUGAGUGAAGAAGGGUUUCGGAUCGUAAAGCUCUGUUGUAAGAGAAGAACGAGUGUGAGAGUGGAAAGUUCACACUGUGACGGUAUCUUACCAGAAAGGGACGGCUAACUACGUG